RNAcentral lists this small RNA (1070 nucleotides) under Pongo abelii (Sumatran orangutan). RNAcentral describes it as "processed transcript". Lineage: Eukaryota; Metazoa; Chordata; Mammalia; Primates; Hominidae. The record is from RNAcentral.
CUGCCAUGCAAGAUGUGACUUUGCUUCUCCUUCCCCUUCUGCCAUGAUUUGUGAUGCCUCCUCAGCCAUGUGGAACUGAGUCAUGGCCGGCUUCAACAUGGGGGGCGACCUCAGGGAGCCUGCCGCCAGCAUUCCCCUGGGCUCCCUGGCAGCUGUUGGCAUCUCGUGGUUUCUGUACAUUGUCUUCGUCUUCCUCCUGGGCGCCAUCUGCACUCGAGAGGCCCUUCGCUAUGACUUCCUGAUAGCGGAAAAGGUAUCCCUCGUGGGCUUCCUGUUCCUUUUGGGCUUAUACAUCUCAUCCCUGGCUUCCUGUAUGGGAGGACUUUAUGGAGCUCCCCGCAUCCUGCAGUGCAUUGCCCAGGAGAAAGUGAUCCCUGCACUUGCCUGUCUGGGACAAGGGAUCUCUGACAGGUUGCCUGCUGCCUCCUGGGAGGGGCAGGAGUCCUGCUGGAACAAGCAGACUUCCAGGAGCGAAGGGACUCAGCCUGAGGGAACAUAUGGAGAGCAACUUGUUCCUGAGCUGUGCAACCAAUCAGAGUCCAGUGGAGAAGAUUUCUUCCUGAAGUCCAGGCUCCAAGAACAAGAUGUCCAGAGAAGAUCCACUUCUUUCUAUACCCACAUGUGCAACCCCUGGGUCUCCCUGUUGGGGGCUGUUGGGUCCCUUCUCAUCAUGUUUGUGAUACAGUGGGUGUAUACCCUGGUUAACAUGGGUGUUGCUGCCAUCGUGUAUUUCUACAUUGGCCGGGCCAGUCCAGGACUUCACCUUGGAUCAGCCUCCAACUUCAGCUUUUUCCGGUGGAUGAGGUCUCUCUUGCUCCCCUCCUGCAGGAGCUUGCGGUCCCCUCAGGAGCAGAUCAUCUUGGCGCCGUCCCUGGCUAAGGUUGACAUGGAGAUGACUCAGCUCACCCAGGAGAAUGCAGACUUCGCCACUCGGGAUCGCUACCACCACUCCUCCCUCAUGAGCCCGGAGCAGCUGAUGCCUCACUACUAGAUGCAGUGCUGGGACCUUCCUCUUUUGGAGCUGUCCCAUGCACAGUGGACCCAAACCCAGAACCUUCGUGGGGCUGCUU